GCUUAGACAACGCCUGCGCCUAGCCACAGCAGCCCCCUCAUGCAGACUCCGCAAGCCAAGAGGCCGUGGAGGCAAAUGCAGGCAGCCAGCACACCUCGAACAGCCACCUUGACUGCAGGUGUGUCACCCUAGUCGCCAAGGAAGCAUUUGAGGGAAAGCGACAGGCAAUGUGAACAGCCACUUCUCCAUGUAAACGGUACUCUUUCUCUCGGAUGACACCUACGCCUAGCCACGCCAGCUCAUUUGUGCAGACUCCUCCAACAAAGAUGCCGCCGAGGCACGUGCAGGUCAGAGGCAAGAAGCAGUGGCACUGGUGUUGACAUUCACCCAAUUUCUUUCUUUUUCUUACACUGAGGCAGCCAGCACACCUCGAACAGCCACCUUGACUGCGGGUGUGUCAGCAGGUUCGUGUUGUACAUAUGCUCAUAAUAAACUUCAGUAAACUUGAACUUGAUAAUAAACUUGAAGGCAAAUGGGA
RNAcentral lists this long non-coding RNA (478 nucleotides) under Dermacentor andersoni. Its description in RNAcentral is "uncharacterized LOC126519724". The record is from RNAcentral. Lineage: Eukaryota; Metazoa; Arthropoda; Arachnida; Ixodida; Ixodidae.